CUACGGGUCGCUGCAGUGAGGAAUAUUGCACAAUGGGGGGAACCCUGAUGCAGCAACGCCGCGUGGAGGAUGACGCAUUUCGGUGUGUAAACUCCUUUUAUAUGUCAAGAAAAUGACGGUAGCAUAUGAAUAAGCACCGGCUAACUCCGUGCCAGCAGCCGCGGUAAUACGGAGGGUGCAAGCGUUACUCGGAAUCACUGGGCGUAAAGGACGCGUAGGCGGGUUGGAAAGUCAGGUGUGAAAUCCUACAGCUUAACUGUAGAACCGCACUUGAAACUUCUAAUCUAGAGUAUGGGAGGGGGAGAUGGAAUUAGUGGUGUAGGGGUAAAAUCCGUAGAUAUCACGAGGAAUACCUAAAGCGAAGGCGAUCUCCUGGAACAUUACUGACGCUAAGGCGUGAAAGCGUGGGGAGCAAACAGGAUUAGAUACCCUAGUAGUC
This 439-nucleotide ribosomal RNA is filed under the name uncultured bacterium. Its description in RNAcentral is "partial 16S ribosomal RNA". It matches the Rfam family "Bacterial small subunit ribosomal RNA", at positions 339 to 795 of the family's 1533-position model. The record is from RNAcentral.